ACCUUUAUAGCUCAAUUGGUAGAGUACCUCUCCUACAAAGAGGAAGUUAUAGGUUCAAGUCCUAUUGAAGGUACCA
RNAcentral lists this transfer RNA (76 nucleotides) under Flavobacterium sp. RNAcentral describes it as "tRNA-Val". It matches the Rfam family "tRNA". From Rfam's summary of the family: Transfer RNA (tRNA) molecules are approximately 80 nucleotides in length. The record is from RNAcentral. Lineage: Bacteria; Pseudomonadati; Bacteroidota; Flavobacteriia; Flavobacteriales; Flavobacteriaceae.